This 492-nucleotide ribosomal RNA is filed under the name uncultured bacterium. Its description in RNAcentral is "partial 16S ribosomal RNA". It matches the Rfam family "Bacterial small subunit ribosomal RNA", at positions 29 to 507 of the family's 1533-position model. The record is from RNAcentral.
AGUGAACGCUGGCGGUAGGCCUAACACAUGCAAGUCGAACGGCAGCACAGUAAGAGCUUGCUCUUACGGGUGGCGAGUGGCGGACGGGUGAGGAAUACAUCGGAAUCUACUUUUUCGUGGGGGAUAACGUAGGGAAACUUACGCUAAUACCGCAUACGACCUACGGGUGAAAGCAGGGGAUCUUCGGACCUUGCGCGAUUGAAUGAGCCGAUGUCGGAUUAGCUAGUUGGCGGGGUAAAGGCCCACCAAGGCGACGAUCCGUAGCUGGUCUGAGAGGAUGAUCAGCCACACUGGAACUGAGACACGGUCCAGACUCCUACGGGAGGCAGCAGUGGGGAAUAUUGGACAAUGGGCACAAGCCUGAUCCAGCCAUACCGCGUGGGUGAAGAAGGCCUUCGGGUUGUAAAGCCCUUUUGUUGGGAAAGAAAAGCAGCAGGUUAAUACCCCGCUGUUCUGACGGUACCCAAAGAGUAAGCACCGGCUAACUUCGUG